UAAACAUCCACAAUGCCCUGACAACAUUGGCACCAAAUAUCAUCACGGCGGCUCUGCUGGGGAGCCACAAGGGACAAUUCACCACCUUGAUGACUGAGGCCAAAGCAGACGAUCAUCUGAAGAGUGCUGCGGUCCUCAUCGUACCAGAGCAGAGGUUUUGCUGCUUGGAUGAGGAGCCAUCCAGCCCAUCUCCAGUAAUGGUGUCACACAACGCUGUGAGUCCCCUGCUGUGUACUACCCAACGCAUCCACCGCGACUGGGGAGAUGGACGUCCUUCAUGCCCUCUAAAGCCUUAUUGAAAUCUAAUUUAUUUUUGGUGUGGAAUAUCCCAAAA
This is a long non-coding RNA of Engraulis encrasicolus (European anchovy), 334 nucleotides long. RefSeq lists it as uncharacterized. Lineage: Eukaryota; Metazoa; Chordata; Actinopteri; Clupeiformes; Engraulidae. The record is from RefSeq and is a predicted model, not a curated record. The transcript is spliced from 3 exons.